Molecule: ribosomal RNA, 1367 nt
Filed under: Enterococcus hirae
Lineage: Bacteria; Bacillati; Bacillota; Bacilli; Lactobacillales; Enterococcaceae
Description: bacterial SSU rRNA
Rfam family: Bacterial small subunit ribosomal RNA
Source: RNAcentral
CUUCCGUUAAUUGAUUAUGACGUACUUGUACUGAUUGAGAUUUUAACACGAAGUGAGUGGCGAACGGGUGAGUAACACGUGGGUAACCUGCCCAGAAGUAGGGGAUAACACCUGGAAACAGAUGCUAAUACCGUAUAACAGAGAAAACCGCAUGGUUUUCUUUUAAAAGAUGGCUCUGCUAUCACUUCUGGAUGGACCCGCGGCGUAUUAGCUAGUUGGUGAGGUAAAGGCUCACCAAGGCAGUGAUACGUAGCCGACCUGAGAGGGUAAUCGGCCACAUUGGGACUGAGACACGGCCCAGACUCCUACGGGAGGCAGCAGUAGGGAAUCUUCCACAAUGGACGCAAGUCUGAUGGAGCAACGCCGCGUGAGUGAAGAAGGGUUUCGGCUCGUAAAGCUCUGUUGUUAAAGAAGAACGUGGGUAAGAGUAACUGUUUACCCAGUGACGGUAUUUAACCAGAAAGCCACGGCUAACUACGUGCCAGCAGCCGCGGUAAUACGUAGGUGGCAAGCGUUAUCCGGAUUUAUUGGGCGUAAAGCGAGCGCAGGCGGUCUUUUAAGUCUAAUGUGAAAGCCUUCGGCUCAACCGAAGAAGUGCAUUGGAAACUGGGAGACUUGAGUGCAGAAGAGGACAGUGGAACUCCAUGUGUAGCGGUGAAAUGCGUAGAUAUAUGGAAGAACACCAGUGGCGAAGGCGGCUGUCUGGUCUGCAACUGACGCUGAGGCUCGAAAGCAUGGGUAGCGAACAGGAUUAGAUACCCUGGUAGUCCAUGCCGUAAACGAUGAUUACUAAGUGUUGGAGGGUUUCCGCCCUUCAGUGCUGCAGCUAACGCAUUAAGUAAUCCGCCUGGGGAGUACGACCGCAAGGUUGAAACUCAAAAGAAUUGACGGGGGCCCGCACAAGCGGUGGAGCAUGUGGUUUAAUUCGAAGCUACGCGAAGAACCUUACCAGGUCUUGACAUCUUCUGACAGUCUAAGAGAUUAGAGGUUCCCUUCGGGGACAGAAUGACAGGUGGUGCAUGGUUGUCGUCAGCUCGUGUCGUGAGAUGUUGGGUUAAGUCCCGCAACGAGCGCAACCCUUAUUACUAGUUGCCAGCAUUAAGUUGGGCACUCUAGUGAGACUGCCGGUGACAAACCGGAGGAAGGUGGGGACGACGUCAAAUCAUCAUGCCCCUUAUGACCUGGGCUACACACGUGCUACAAUGGAUGGUACAACGAGUCGCGAAACCGCGAGGUUAAGCUAAUCUCUUAAAACCAUUCUCAGUUCGGACUGUAGGCUGCAACUCGCCUACACGAAGUCGGAAUCGCUAGUAAUCGCGGAUCAGCAUGCCGCGGUGAAUACGUUCCCGGGCCUUGUACACACCGCC